RNAcentral lists this ribosomal RNA (253 nucleotides) under uncultured Lachnospiraceae bacterium. RNAcentral's name for it is "partial 16S ribosomal RNA". It matches the Rfam family "Bacterial small subunit ribosomal RNA", at positions 524 to 776 of the family's 1533-position model. Lineage: Bacteria; Bacillati; Bacillota; Clostridia; Lachnospirales; Lachnospiraceae. The record is from RNAcentral.
UACGUAGGGGGCAAGCGUUAUCCGGAUUUACUGGGUGUAAAGGGAGCGUAGACGGUUAUGUAAGUCUGGAGUGAAAGCCCGGGGCUCAACUCCGGGACUGCUUUUGAAACUGUGUGACUGGAGUGCAGGAGGGGUAAGCGGAAUUCCUAGUGUAGCGGUGAAAUGCGUAGAUAUUAGGAGGAACACCGGUGGCGAAGGCGGCUUACUGGACUGUAACUGACGUUGAGGCUCGAAGGCGUGGGGAGCAAACAGG